RNAcentral lists this ribosomal RNA (405 nucleotides) under uncultured microorganism. RNAcentral describes it as "bacterial SSU rRNA". It matches the Rfam family "Archaeal small subunit ribosomal RNA", at positions 330 to 735 of the family's 1478-position model. The record is from RNAcentral.
GUGCAGCAGUCGCGAAAACUUCACACUGUGCGAAAGCACGAUGAGGGAAUCCCAAGUGCUUGCACGUAAGUGUAAGCUGUUUCUCUGUCUAAAACGCAGAGAGAGUAAGGGCUGGGUAAGACGGGUGCCAGCCGCCGCGGUAAUACCUGCAGCUCAAGUGGUGACCGUUAUUAUUGGGCCUAAAACGUCCGUAGCCGGUUUAAUAAAUGCCUGGGUAAAUUGUGUAGCUUAACUAUACGAAUUCCGGGUAGACUGUUAAACUUGAGACCGGGAGAAGUUAGAGGUACUCCUGGGGUAGAGGUGAAAUUCUGUAAUCCUAGGGGGACCACCAGUGGCGAAGGCGUCCAACUAGAACGGGUCUGACGGUGAGGGACGAAGCCCUGGGGCGCAAACGGGGAUUAGAUA